RNAcentral lists this long non-coding RNA (1096 nucleotides) under Medicago truncatula (barrel medic). RNAcentral's name for it is "long non-coding RNA (MTRU_LNC004268)". The record is from RNAcentral. Lineage: Eukaryota; Viridiplantae; Streptophyta; Magnoliopsida; Fabales; Fabaceae.
AAAAACACUAGUUAUGGAUGAUGAAAAAAAUAAGAUUUAAAAUUAAUGCGUCGAGGAAGUUGAUGACGGAGCAUCAUAUGAUAGUUUAGGCUUUCUUCUUAGUAGUUUUUUUGUAUUCGAAGACAAAUAAGAAGUAAUUUAGAGGAGUUGUCAAUGGUUUGAGAAAAAUAUUGUAUUAUUUUCAUCCGAGUCGAUGUGAUUCACUUUUGACCUAAAUUAUGCAACUCUAAAGGUGUUUUGUAGUGAGGACUCAUGUAAAUUGGCAAAUCAAAACAUCAUGUGAGGGAUAAGGAUAUGAAGUUUGAACACCAAUGAUUUUUAAAAGGUUUUUGAAGGCAGUGCAAGAUAAAGAAAAUUCAUUUCAAAAGUUCUAAGGUAUUUUUGAGGUAGUUCUUCAUAAACGGGAUAAAAAGAAGCAAGAACUCGCACAGGAGGGGCUACCAGAAACGCCCAUGUGCCUAGCGAAAGCUCCCCUCCACAUGAGGCAUCAUUUUCUACUGCCUCAUGUGCCACUACACAUGCUCUCAUUUGCCAUGCGCCUGGCUGCGGGUAGAAAAGGCAGUUUGCUUGUUUUCCAAGUUGGAUUGGUGGAAAAGGCCUAGUUUUCUUUUUUUAAACCCUAAGUAAUGAUGCACCAUAAAUAGAGACUCUUGCACACACUUUUAUUCAUUGAGAAAGCUAGCGGUUCAAGGCAAGGGUCAAGCAUCAUAGCUUCAAGGUAGAGGAUCGCCAUCCUCUUCUUAUUUUCUCUAAUGUAUGUUUUUCUAUUGUUUUGUAAUGAUGUACGUUACCAUGUGUAAAUAACGUCUUUGAUUAGGGUUCCAAUAUGAACCCUUUCUUAUUUGUUGAAUUCAAUGAAUAAAGUUUCUCGUUCAGUUUAUGUUUCGAUUGGCAGAUUUUAUUUUCUACAUGCCUGUUCUAUAAUGCCUUUUCAAGUGAGAAUCUAUAUCGGUAAUCUUGUAAAAUCAUCUCUAGGGGAAUAGAAGGCCUGACAACCAAAGGUUCUUUCCGACCCUUGCAGUAGUAAAAUUGCUUAUUUUCUUAAUUAAGGUUUAAGCAUGAAUCUAGGGGUUUUUAACUCAUCUUAAGGGACCCC